GCCUUCGUGGUGUAGUGGUUUGCAUGCUCGAUGAGUAACCGAGAGGUUUGGGGUUCGAUUCCCGGUGAAGGCG
RNAcentral lists this transfer RNA (73 nucleotides) under Stegodyphus mimosarum. It matches the Rfam family "tRNA". Rfam says of the family: Transfer RNA (tRNA) molecules are approximately 80 nucleotides in length. Their secondary structure includes four short double-helical elements and three loops (D, anti-codon, and T loops). The record is from Rfam by way of RNAcentral. Lineage: Eukaryota; Metazoa; Arthropoda; Arachnida; Araneae; Eresidae.